Long non-coding RNA from Sinocyclocheilus rhinocerous, 88 nucleotides. RefSeq lists it as uncharacterized. The record is from RefSeq and is a predicted model, not a curated record. The transcript is spliced from 3 exons. NCBI's taxonomy places the organism in Eukaryota, Metazoa, Chordata, Actinopteri, Cypriniformes, Cyprinidae.
UUUAAGUAUUAUCAUUGAUUUUUGUUUUUUUUUUGUAGGUAAAAGGGUCCAGUUAGACAGAAUUGGCUGCUUUGAAGUUGUACAUUUU